This 88-nucleotide microRNA precursor is filed under the name Musa balbisiana (Balbis banana). Its description in RNAcentral is "mir-160 microRNA precursor family". It matches the Rfam family "mir-160 microRNA precursor family". From Rfam's summary of the family: The hairpin precursors (represented here) are predicted based on base pairing and cross-species conservation -- their extents are not known. RNAcentral also lists the same sequence under 1 other name. The record is from Rfam by way of RNAcentral. Lineage: Eukaryota; Viridiplantae; Streptophyta; Magnoliopsida; Zingiberales; Musaceae.
UUGUGCCUGGCUCCCUGUAUGCCACACGUAUAGACCAAUCCUUGGAGUGAUUGGCUACUGUGGGUGGCGUGCAAGGAGCCAAGCAUGC